UGGAGUGAUUUGUCUGGUUAAUUCCGAUAACGAACGAGACUCUAGCCUGCUAAAUAGGUGGCGGGUUUUAUCAUUGAAUUUUGGGUUCGGAGUUCGCCGGGAUCAGGGUUGGCGUUGCUCUUCUGCGGUGCGUCCCGGUUGUUGUGGGGGUGGAGUCUUUGCGGCCGUUUCGGCGGUUUCGGAGGUUUCGUUCUCUCAGCGAUCGAAGGCGUGCCGUGGGAGUGUGGCGUCGGUCCCCCGGCGGUCGGCUUCGUUCUCGCGUCCGUCACAACUCUUCUUAGAGGGACAAGCGGCGUCCAGCCGCGUGACAGUGAGCAAUAACAGGUCUGUGAUGCCCUUAGAUGUCCUGGGCCGCACGCGCGCUACACUGAAGGAAUCAGCGUGUUUUUCUCCCCCUGUCCGAAAGGACCGGGUAACCGCUGAACCUCCUUCGUGGUUGGGAUUGGGGACUGCAAUGAUCCCCAUGAACCAGGAAUCCCUAGUAGGCGCGAGUCACUAGCUCGCGUCGAUUACGUCCCUGCCCUUUGUACACACCGCCCGUCGCUACUACCGAUUGAAUGAUUUAGUGAGGCCUUCGGACGGGCUCGUCGGGGGUUGAGCGAAGGGGAGCAAUCCUCCUAGCCCGGCCCUGAUUAACGGCGAGACUGAAAGAUGUCCGAACUUGAUCCUUUAGAGGAAGUAAAAGUCGUAACAAGGUAUCCGUAGGUGAAAU
Molecule: ribosomal RNA, 712 nt
Filed under: Evadne spinifera
Lineage: Eukaryota; Metazoa; Arthropoda; Branchiopoda; Diplostraca; Podonidae
Description: bacterial SSU rRNA
Rfam family: Eukaryotic small subunit ribosomal RNA
Source: RNAcentral